UGCAUGUUCAAUAAAAAAUGGAUUUACACAGAAAUGCUACUUAACUUUGAAAUAUUUCUACUUGCAUACAAACUAUUAUUCUUACGGUAGUUCUAAAAGUUUCCGCAGCAACGCGCGGGGUAUCAUCCAGUAACAGUUUGUUUGUUCACCCAAAAGCCCCAUGUCCCAAGUUGGAUCCGUCCCUGUCGACGAUACGAGUGCUGAUGCUGCAGCGGCGCCGGAGGAGGAGAAGAAGAAGAAGAAGAUGGCCGGAGCCAUAUUCGAUACGCAGCUCAUCAUUCGCGAGCCGGUGACGGGCACGGGGGCCGCCAGCCACCGCACGACCACCACCGGGUUCCCCUUCUCGGUGUCGCUGAGCCUCGCCGCGCCGCCGGCGAUCUCCCACGUCCACCUGCACCCGAUGGCGGCGCCCCACACCCUCAAGCACGGCCUCUCCUCGCUCCUCGCCGCGGACGCCCACCACCUCCUCCUCUGCGUCGUCGUCCCCGUCAAGACCAGGUACUACAGCUACGACCACCCGGAGGAGUUCUUCGUCUACACCGCCGCCUCUGCCCUCACCCCUACGCUGACGCGCCUCCCUGCUUUCCCCGACGGCCGCCAGCGCUCGUCCGGGGACAUCGGCAUCUUGACCCAUGGUGGUGGUGGCUUCACCGUUUCAUCUUUGCAGAUGUGGAUGGUGGGGGAAGGAACAAUCACCGUUAAGGAGCUAGAGGAAGGAACCGCAAUCAUUGAGGAGUUUGCCAAGCUCACCUUACUCCAUUGUUCAGGCGGCGACAGGGAUAACAACAACAGCAGCAGCAACAGCUGGGUUGUCAAGAAGCUAGCUCUGCCUCCUUUUGACUCAGAUUAUGGGGGGCAUUCUGGACUGAUAAGCAAGUGGAGCAGCCAAAUCGCCUUCUCCCACGGCGGCAAGGUCUAUUGGGCUAGCUACAACAUUGGCCUUAUCUUCUGUGAUGUCUUGGAAUCUCUGCCCAAGCUCCAAUUGAUCAAGUUCCCUUUUCCUGAGAGCGAAAUUCAACUCUUGUUCCAUGUUAAGACUGACAAUUGUGGACCAACUGCGUCCUUCAGGACAGUCGGUGUCUCUGAUGGGAAGAUCAAGUUCGUAGAUGUUGACAAGUGCCGCUCCCGGCCCUCUGCCAUCGUUAUCAGGGCGUGGACACUGCAAAUGCCACAGAUGGUAUGGAAGUUGGAUGAUGUGCUCGAUGUCAACGGCCUGUGGGGGUCAGCAUCCUUCAAGAAAUACGGUUUGCAUCAGUGGGUACCAGAGUAUCCUGUGGUGAGCUUACUAGACCCACACAUUGUGCACUUUGUGCUGCGCCAACCUAUAUACCAUGAGCAGGUCUGGAUGAUCACAGUUGACAUGAGGGCCAAGUCAGUUGUGUCGUGCAAGAACUAUCCAAACGGUGAGAAGGGGUAUGAAUACAAGGGGCUGUUGUUCAACCCAUAUUACAUCUCUAGUGAGCUCUCAAAGUAA
RNAcentral lists this long non-coding RNA (1474 nucleotides) under Oryza sativa aromatic subgroup. RNAcentral's name for it is "lncRNA OsARC_12g0005290". Lineage: Eukaryota; Viridiplantae; Streptophyta; Magnoliopsida; Poales; Poaceae. The record is from RNAcentral.